This 524-nucleotide ribosomal RNA is filed under the name uncultured bacterium. Its description in RNAcentral is "bacterial SSU rRNA". It matches the Rfam family "Bacterial small subunit ribosomal RNA", at positions 777 to 1300 of the family's 1533-position model. The record is from RNAcentral.
AAUAGAUACCCCGGUAGUCCACGCCGUAAACGAUGAGUGCUAAGUGUUGGAGGGUUUCCGCCCUUCAGUGCUGCAGCUAACGCAUUAAGCACUCCGCCUGGGGAGUACGGUCGCAAGACUGAAACUCAAAGGAAUUGACGGGGGCCCGCACAAGCGGUGGAGCAUGUGGUUUAAUUCGAAGCAACGCGAAGAACCUUACCAGGUCUUGACAUCUCCUGACCGCCCUGGAGACAGGGUCUUCCCUUCGGGGACAGGAUGACAGGUGGUGCAUGGUUGUCGUCAGCUCGUGUCGUGAGAUGUUGGGUUAAGUCCCGCAACGAGCGCAACCCUUGGUUCUAGUUGCCAGCAUUCAGUUGGGCACUCUAGAGCGACUGCCGGCGACAAGUCGGAGGAAGGUGGGGAUGACGUCAAAUCAUCAUGCCCCUUAUGACCUGGGCUACACACGUGCUACAAUGGAUGGUACAAAGGGCAGCGAAGCGGCGACGCAUGAGCGAAUCCCAGAAAACCAUUCUCAGUUCGGAUUG